GACCUCUCUCCCGUUAGGCCGUGGGGGGAUGGAAGUCUUAUUUCUUCUCAGUGGGGGUGUAAAGAUCAAAAUCAGCCCUUGAGAAUAACUGACAGAACCACCAAGCACCUGGUAGCCUUGUUUUCUUGCCUCGGACAUUA
This 140-nucleotide small nucleolar RNA is filed under the name Microtus ochrogaster (prairie vole). The record is from RNAcentral. Lineage: Eukaryota; Metazoa; Chordata; Mammalia; Rodentia; Cricetidae.